CCAGUGCGACCCAACGGCAGCCAGAGGCCGCCCUGCCCCGCCGGCCAGAAGCGGACUCGGUGCAGACAUGCAGCUCUCUCCGUGGAAUGUGCAUGUGCACGGAGUAGAGACGGGAUUUCACCAUGUUAGCCAAGAUGGUCUCCAUCUCCUGACCUUGUGAUCCGCCCG
Long non-coding RNA from Homo sapiens (human), 168 nucleotides. NCBI's taxonomy places the organism in Eukaryota, Metazoa, Chordata, Mammalia, Primates, Hominidae. The record is from Ensembl.